Molecule: ribosomal RNA, 358 nt
Filed under: uncultured Levilinea sp.
Lineage: Bacteria; Bacillati; Chloroflexota; Anaerolineae; Anaerolineales; Anaerolineaceae
Description: bacterial SSU rRNA
Rfam family: Bacterial small subunit ribosomal RNA
Source: RNAcentral
GGUGACCGACCCUCGGGGAGCUAGCACAGGUGCUGCAUGGCUGUCGUCAGCUCGUGUCGUGAGAUGUUCGGUUAAGUCCGCUAACGAGCGCAACCCUUGCUGUGUGUUACAUGUGUCACACGGGACUGCCGGUCUUAAACCGGAGGAAGGUGGGAUGACGUCAAGUCAGCAUGGCCUUUAUGUCCUGGGCUACACACACGCUACAAUGGCCGGUACAAUAGGUUGCGAAGCCGCGAGGCGGAGCCAAUCCUCAAAGCCGGCCUCAGUUCAGAUUGCAGGCUGCAACCCGCCUGCAUGAAGAUGGAGUUGCUAGUAACCGCAGGUCAGCUAUACUGCGGUGAAUACGUUCCCGGGGCUU